UCCAUUGCAUCCCUGCCCUGCCGCGCCUAUAUUGCACAUGCUCGCAAGGGCUAUGGCGAUAAAUGGCCAUCGUAAUAAACCUUUCGGACCCGGGGGCAGUACCCGGCGCCUCCACCAUGAGGGGGCGAAACAGGAUCGACGAGGGCGUAAAGGGUGUGUUUUCGCUCGGUGAGGUACCACCGUUAUCGGUCCGAAAACUUAUAGUUGCCAAUGACAACCAUAAGGCUCCGGUCGCUCUCGCCGCGUAAUGCGGUGCUAGCACUGGGAAUUUAAGUCCUCCGCUCCUAGCCGGGCGACAGGCGGGGUCCGCAGGCACCUGGCAACAGAAGCCUGCACC
This 337-nucleotide transfer-messenger RNA is filed under the name Pelagibacterium sp. SCN 64-44. It matches the Rfam family "Alphaproteobacteria transfer-messenger RNA". Rfam says of the family: Bacterial tmRNA, also known as 10Sa RNA or SsrA, is named for its dual tRNA and mRNA-like properties. The record is from RNAcentral. Lineage: Bacteria; Pseudomonadati; Pseudomonadota; Alphaproteobacteria; Hyphomicrobiales; Devosiaceae.